RNAcentral lists this ribosomal RNA (371 nucleotides) under uncultured bacterium. RNAcentral's name for it is "bacterial SSU rRNA". It matches the Rfam family "Bacterial small subunit ribosomal RNA", at positions 28 to 412 of the family's 1533-position model. The record is from RNAcentral.
GAUGAACGCUAGCGGCAGGCCUAAUACAUGCAAGUCAAGGGGGCAGCAAUGUCACCGGCGGACGGGUGCGUAACGCGUACACAACAUACCUUUAAGCGGGGGAUAGCAUUGGGAAACUGGUGGUAAUACCCCAUAACAUUGCGAGGUGGCAUUACUUUGCAAUUAAAGUUACGGCGCUUAGAGAUUGGUGUGCGUCUGAUUAGCUAGUUGGCGGGGUAAAGGCCCACCAAGGCGACGANCAGUAACUGGUGUGAGAGCACGACCAGUCACACGGGCACUGAGACACGGGCCCGACUCCUACGGGAGGCAGCAGUAAGGAAUAUUGGUCAAUGGACGCAAGUCUGAACCAGCCAUGCCGCGUGAAGGAUGAA